GAUGAACGCUGGCGGUGUGCCUAAUACAUGCAAGUCGAGCGAACAGACGAGGAGCUUGCUCCUUUGACGUUAGCGGCGGACGGGUGAGUAACACGUAGGUAACCUACCUAUAAGACUGGGAUAACUUCGGGAAACCGGAGCUAAUACCGGAUAAUAUUUCGAACCGCAUGGUUCGAUAGUGAAAGAUGGCUUUGCUAUCACUUAUAGAUGGACCUGCGCCGUAUUAGCUAGUUGGUAAGGUAACGGCUUACCAAGGCAACGAUACGUAGCCGACCUGAGAGGGUGAUCGGCCACACUGGAACUGAGACACGGUCCAGACUCCUACGGGAGGCAGCAGUAGGGAAUCUUCCGCAAUGGGCGAAAGCCUGACGGAGCAACGCCGCGUGAGUGAUGAAGGUCUUCGGAUCGUAAAACUCUGUUAUUAGGGAAGAACAAACGUGUAAGUAACUGUGCACGUCUUGACGGUACCUAAUCAGAAAGCCACGGCUAACUACGUG
Molecule: ribosomal RNA, 497 nt
Filed under: uncultured bacterium
Lineage: Bacteria
Description: partial 16S ribosomal RNA
Rfam family: Bacterial small subunit ribosomal RNA
Source: RNAcentral